RNAcentral lists this ribosomal RNA (491 nucleotides) under Salmanites wittilliko. RNAcentral describes it as "partial 16S ribosomal RNA". It matches the Rfam family "Bacterial large subunit ribosomal RNA", at positions 1832 to 2582 of the family's 2925-position model. Lineage: Eukaryota; Metazoa; Arthropoda; Insecta; Orthoptera; Gryllidae. The record is from RNAcentral.
UCUUUUUGUAUAUAUUAAAGGUUGUACCUGCCCACUGAUGAGUGAAUUGAAGGGCCGCGGUAUUUUGACCGUGCAAAGGUAGCAUAAUCAUUAGCUUUUUAAUUGGGAGCUGGAAUGAAUGGUUUGACGAGAUAAUAACUGUCUCAUAAUUAUUAGUUGAAUUUUAUUUUUAAGUUAAAAAGCUUAAAUGAAUAUAAGGGACGAGAAGACCCUAUAGAUCUUUACAAUUUAUUAAUUUAUAUAUGAUUAGAAUAAAAAUUUAUGUAAUUUGGUGAAUUGUUUUGUUGGGGUGACAUGAGAAUAUAAAAACUUCUUUAUUUUUAUACUUUGAUUUGUGGGAAAAUGAUCCUUUAUUAUGGAAAUAAGAUUAAGAUACCUUAGGGAUAACAGCGUAAUUUUGUUGGAAAGUUCUUAUUGAUAAUGAAGAUUGCGACCUCGAUGUUGGAUUAAGAUUAAAUAAAGGUGAAGGUGCUUUAAGUUUUGGUCUGUUC